GCUAGGCAUGGUGGCGCGUGCCUGUAGUCCCAGCUACUCGGGAAGCUGAGGCAGGAGAAUCACCUGAACCUGGGAGGUGGAGGUUACAGUGAGCAGAGAUUGUGCCACUGCACUCCAGCCUGGUGACAGGGUGAGAUUCUGUCUCAA
This is an unclassified non-coding RNA of Pongo abelii (Sumatran orangutan), 147 nucleotides long. It matches the Rfam family "Metazoan signal recognition particle RNA". Rfam says of the family: The signal recognition particle (SRP) is a universally conserved ribonucleoprotein. NCBI's taxonomy places the organism in Eukaryota, Metazoa, Chordata, Mammalia, Primates, Hominidae. The record is from Ensembl.